Molecule: ribosomal RNA, 252 nt
Filed under: uncultured bacterium
Lineage: Bacteria
Description: partial 16S ribosomal RNA
Rfam family: Bacterial small subunit ribosomal RNA
Source: RNAcentral
UACGUAGGUCCCGAGCGUUGUCCGGAUUUAUUGGGCGUAAAGCGAGCGCAGGUGGUUUAUUAAGUCUGGUGUAAAAGGCAGUGGCUCAACCAUUGUAUGCAUUGGAAACUGGUAAACUUGAGUGCAGGAGAGGAGAGUGGGAUUCCAUGUGUAGCGGUGAAAUGCGUAGAUAUAUGGAGGAACACCGGUGGCGAAAGCGGCUCUCUGGCCUGUAACUGACACUGAGGCUCGAAAGCGUGGGGAGCAAACAGG